RNAcentral lists this long non-coding RNA (377 nucleotides) under Aplysia californica (California sea hare). RNAcentral's name for it is "uncharacterized LOC106013697". The record is from RNAcentral. Lineage: Eukaryota; Metazoa; Mollusca; Gastropoda; Aplysiida; Aplysiidae.
CUCCCGAGCUCCAGUCAGAUAAAAAGAAGGACAAUUUCUGCAGACGACACCACAGCUCCUAGUCGCCAGAUAUUUGCUGAUCAAUUCAGAACCUUUCAGAGUUCAACUCAACAUCAACCAAUCAAGAUGAACAACACCGUCUUUGUCGUUCUCGUCGUCCUGGCUCUGAUCGCCGCUGCCAGUGCUAUGUCAUUCUCCAGCUGUAACAGCAAGUUCAGCGACUGGUACAACGAUUGUAAGGGCCGUUAUGGACAACACAAGUGUGACAUUGCUAUGGGAGGUUUCUCUGUAUCUUGUUAUUACAGCUAAGUUCUCCAUGUGUCAUGUCACCUGAACACGUUACCGGUCGUGGACUUCGGAAUAAAUCUACUGCACGA